RNAcentral lists this unclassified non-coding RNA (148 nucleotides) under uncultured Helotiales. RNAcentral describes it as "sequence contains ITS2". The record is from RNAcentral. Lineage: Eukaryota; Fungi; Ascomycota; Leotiomycetes; Helotiales.
CAACCCUCAAGCAUAGCUUGGUAUUGGGUGUCACCUGGUGAUGGGUGCACCUUAAAAUCAGUGGCGGUGCCAUCUGGCUCUAAGCGUAGUAAUUCUCUCGCUUUGGAGGUUUAGAUUUGUAGUUGCCAUCAACCCCUAAUUUCUUAAA